Molecule: RNA transcript, 4938 nt
Organism: Rhea pennata
Lineage: Eukaryota; Metazoa; Chordata; Aves; Rheiformes; Rheidae
Gene: FMNL3
Gene name: formin like 3
Exons: 27
Source: RefSeq, a predicted model, not a curated record
UGGCGGCGGCGGGCGGACGCGACGGGCUGCGCCUCCGCCGCCGCCCCCCGGGUGCCUGGGCCGGGGAUGGGGAACGUGGAGAGCGCGGACGGGGAGGCGCUGCCCCGGGGCCCGGGCGCGGCGGCCGCCGCCCCGGCGGGGCCCGGGCUGCUCGCCGCGGGCAAGAUGCCGAUGCCGGAGCCGUGCGAGCUGGAGGAGCGCUUCGCCCUGGUGCUGAGCUCCAUGAACCUGCCGCCGGACAAGGCCCGGCUCCUGCGCCAGUACGACAACGAGAAGAAGUGGGACCUCAUCUGCGACCAGGAGCGGUUCCAGGUGAAGAGCCCCCCCCACACCUACAUCCAAAAGCUGCAGAGCUUCCUGGAGCCCGGCGUCACGCGGAAGAAGUUCAGGAGGAGGGUGCAGGAGUCGACCAAGGUGCUGCGCGAGCUGGAGAUCAGUCUGCGGACGAACCACAUCGGGUGGGUGCGCGAGUUCCUCAACGCCGAGAACAAGGGCCUGGACGUGCUGGUGAGCUACCUGUCCUUCGCCCAGUGCGCCGUCACGUUUGAUGUUGAGGGCCUGGAAGGCGGCGAGGACGGCGCGCUAGAGAAGCUGCGAGCCUGGAGCAGGUCCAUAGAGGAUCUGCAGCACCUCAGCGCCCUGCCCGCGCCCUUCGCCAGCAGCCUGGCCCGCUCGGCCCGCCAGAGCGCCCUCCGCUACGGCACGCUGCCCAGCCGCAAGGCGCUCCGCAACGCCCGCCUCGUGAGCCAGAAGGACGACGUGCACCUCUGCAUCAUGUGCCUGCGCGCCAUCAUGAACUACCAGUACGGCUUCAACCUGGUCAUGUCGCACCCGCACGCCGUCAACGAGAUCGCCCUGAGCCUCAACAACAAGAACCCCAGGACCAAGGCGCUGGUGCUGGAGCUGCUGGCGGCUGUGUGCCUGGUGCGGGGGGGCCACGAGAUCAUCCUCGCCGCCUUCGACAACUUCAAGGAGGUCUGCCAGGAGAAGCACCGCUUCGAGCGGCUCAUGGAGUAUUUCCGAAACGAGGACAGCAGCAUCGACUUCAUGGUCGCCUGCAUGCAGUUCAUCAACAUCGUGGUGCACUCCGUGGAGGACAUGAACUUCCGCGUGCACCUGCAGUACGAGUUCACCAAGCUGGGGCUCGAGGACUUCCUGCAGCGGUCGAGGCACACGGAGAGCGAGAAGCUGCAGGUGCAGAUCCAGGCCUACCUGGACAACGUCUUCGACGUGGGCGGGCUGCUGGAGGACGCCGAGACCAAGAACGUGGCCCUGGAGAAGGUGGAGGAGCUGGAGGAGCAUCUGUCGCACCUGACGGAGAAGCUGCUGGACCUGGAGAACGAGAACAUGAUGCGGGUGGCGGAGCUGGAGAAGCAGCUGCUGCAGCGGGAGAAGGAGCUGGAGCUGGUGAAGGAGACCUGCGAGCACGCGAGCCGCCAGGUGCACACGCUGCGCCGGGCGAUGCGGGAGAAGGACGAGGCUUUCCGGCGGGGCCGCGGCGCCGAGCCGCCCGCCGCCCCCGGCGCCGAGCCGCUGCCCGAGGCCGAGGCCCUGGACGAGGACGUGCGGCUGCCCGCGCCGCCCGCCGCCGAGGCGGCUGCGCCCCCGCCGCCCCCGCCGCCGCCGCCGCCGCCGCCGCCCCCCGCGCCCCCGCUGCCCGGCAAGUGCCCGCCGGCCCCACCGCUGCCCGGGGCUUCGCCCUCCAUCGCCCUCACCGUGGGGCUCUCGGCCAUCCGGAUCAAGAAGCCCAUCAAGACCAAGUUCCGCCUGCCCGUCUUCAACUGGACGGCGCUGAAGCCCAACCAGAUCAGCGGGACGGUGUUCAGCGAGCUGGACGACGAGCGGGUGCUGGAGGACCUCGACCUGGAGCGCUUCGAGGAGCUCUUCAAGACCAAGGCGCAGGGGCCGGCGCUCGAGCUCGUCUGCGCCAAGAACAAGGCGUCGCACAAGGGCGCCAGCAAGGUGACGCUGCUCGAGGCCAACCGGGCCAAGAACCUGGCCAUCACCCUGCGCAAGGCCGGCCGCAGCGCCGAGGAGAUCUGCAGGGCCAUCCACACGUUCGACCUGGCCACGCUGCCGGUGGACUUCGUGGAGUGCCUGAUGCGGUUCGUGCCCACGGAGGCGGAGGCGAAGGCGCUGCGGCAGUACGAGCGCGAGCGCAAGCCGCUGGAGGAGCUGGCGGCCGAGGACCGCUUCAUGCUGCAGUUCAGCAAGGUGGAGCGGCUGCCCCAGCGCAUGGCCGUCAUGGCCUUCCUGGGCAACUUCGCCGAAAACCUCCAGAUGCUGACGCCGCAGCUCAACGCCAUCAUCGCCGCCUCGGCCUCCGUCAAGUCCUCCCAGAAGCUGAAGCAGAUGCUGGAAAUCAUCCUGGCGCUGGGUAACUACAUGAACAGCAGCAAACGCGGCGCCGUCUACGGCUUCAAGCUGCAGAGCCUGGACCUGCUGCUGGACACCAAGUCGACGGAUCGCAAGAUGACGCUGCUGCAUUUUAUCGCGCUGACGGUGCGGGAGAAGUACCCCGAGCUGGCGACCUUCUGGCAGGAGCUGCACUUCGUGGAGAAGGCGGCCGCAGUGUCCCUGGAGAACGUGCUGCUGGACGUGAAGGAGCUGGGCCGGGGCAUGGAGCUGCUGCGGCGCGAGUGCGGGCUGCACGAGAGCGCCGUGCUGCGCGCCUUCCUGGCCGCCGGCGAGGGCAAGCUGGAGCGGCUGCAGAAGGACGCGCGGACCGCCGAGGACGCCUACAACACGGUGGUGCGGUAUUUCGGCGAGAGCCCCAAGACGACCCCCCCGUCCGUCUUCUUCCCCGUCUUCGUCCGAUUCAUCCGCUCCUACAAGGACGCGGAGCAGGAGAACGAGACGCGGAAGAAGCAGGAGGAGGUGAUGCGGGAGAAGAUGCUGGCGCAGGAGGCCAAGAAGCUGGAGAAGCGGAACAAGUGGCAGCAGCAGGAGCUGAUCGCGGAGCUGCGGCGCCGGCAGGCCAAGGACCACCGCCCCGUCUACGAGGGCAAAGACGGCACCAUCGAGGACAUCAUCACCGCGCUGAAGAGCGUCCCCUUCACGGCCCGCACCGCCAAGCGGGGCUCGCGCUUCUUCUGCGACCCGUCCCACCACGACGAGUCCAACUGUUAGCCCCGAGGUAGGGCCGGCCCCGUGCAUGCCGCCUGCCGCCCCCUCCCGCAUGCACCCUGCCCGCCCCUGCCCCCCCCCCCCCACGCGCCGGCGCCCCGGGGCGCCCCACAGCCCCGCGCCCGCCGGCACGGCGUACUGGCACGACGCUGGCUCCCAGCACGGGCACCCGGCGCAGAACUGGGUCCUGGUGCGGUGCUGGGUCCCAGCACGGCGUCCUGCUGCAGUCUGGGCUUCCCGCAUGGAUUCCUGGUGCAGAGCUGGGUGCUGGAGCAAUUCGGGCUGCAGCAUGGGGUCCUGGUGCAGAGCUGGGUCCUGGUGCAGAGCUGGGUCCUGGUGCAGUGCUGGGUCCUGGUGCAAUUCGGGCUGCAGCGUGGGGUCCUGGUGCAGAGCUGGGUCCUGGUGCAGUGCUGGGUACUGGAGCAAUUCGGACUGCAGCAUGGGGUCCUGGUGCAGAGCUGGGUCCUGGUGCAGAGCUGGGUGCUGGUGCAGUGCUGGGUGCUCGAGCAAUUCGGGCUGCAGCGUGGGGUCCUGGUGCAGAGCUGGGUCCUGGUGCAGAGCUGGGUGCUGGAGCAAUUCGGGCUCCCAGCACGGGGUCCUGGUGCAGAGCUGGGUCCCGGUGCAGAGCUGGGUCCUGGUGCAGAGCUGGGUGCUGGAGCAACUUGGGCUGCAGCGUGGGGUCCUGGUGCAGAGCUGGGUCCUGGUGCAGAGCUGGGUGCUGGAGCAAUUCAGGCUGCAGCGUGGGGUCCUGGUGCAGAGCUGGGUCCCGGUGCAGAGCUGGGUGCUGGAGCAAUUCGGGCUGCAGCGUGGGGUCCUGGUGCAGUGCUGGGUCCUGGUGCAAUUCAGGCUGCAGCGUGGGGUCCUGGUGCAGAGCUGGGUCCCGGUGCAGAGCUGGGUCCUGGAGCAAUUCGGGCUCCCAGCGUGGGGUCCUGGUGCAGUGCUGGGUCCUGGUGCAGAGCUGGGUCCUGGUGCAGAGCUGGGUUCUAGAGUAAUUCGGGCUGCAGCGUGGGGUCCUGGUGCAGAGCUGGGUCCUGGUGCAGAGCUGGGUGCUGGAGCAAUUUGGGCUGCAGCGUGGGGUCCUGGUGCAGAGCUGGGUCCUGGUGCAAUUCGGGCUGCAGCGUGGGGUCCUGGUGCAGAGCUGGGUCCUGGUGCAGAGCUGGGUCCUGGUGCAAUUCGGACUGCAGCCUGGGGUCCUGGUGCAGAGCUGGGUGCUGGAGCAAUUCGGGCUCCCAGCGUGCGGUCCUGGUGCAGAGCUGGGCCCCAACAUGGGGGUCCUGAUGCGAUGCAGAGACCCAGCAUGGACUCUUGGUGCAAUUUGGGCUCCCAGCGUGGGGUCCUGGUGCAGUGCCGGGUCCCAGUUUGGGAUCCGAGGAGCGGACAAACGGCACCGAGCUGCCCGCGGCGCUGGGGACGCGCUCGGCCCCGCCGCGCCGCCCGCCUCUAGCCGUCCCCGCGCCGCCCGCCCCGGCCCCGCGGGCUCGGCGACGGCGGCCCCCCGGCCCGGAGCGACUCGCGGCCCCGGCGGCGCCCGAACCUUCCUGCGGCGGAGGCCGGAUCCGAAACCGGCAGCCGGCGGCAGGGAAACGUCUGCGGGAGCAGCCGGGCUCAGCCCGAGCCCCCGCUCGGCACUUUGACCACUGAUGUGAACACUAAUUGCCAAAAAGAAGAAAAAGGGACCAAAGCCGGGGCGGGGAGGGGGUGCGGCAGGGCGGCCGCCUGCCCCGGCCCCCUCCCCGGCCCCCCGGCCCCCCGCCGCGGUCGCAGCGAGGGGUAACGUUUUGUACAUGGGAAAUACACGGAGUCUUUUACGCA